ACAAACUCUCAUGUGACAACACUUUCCACCUCACGCUCUCUCCCUCAUCUUUUCAGCUAUAUAUCACACACACACCCCUAGAAAAAUGGAGGAGAACGAGAGAAGAGGGAGGAACGAAAAAAUAGGGAGAGAGAGAGAGCACAAGAUAAAUCUGAAGAGUAACUAAAAAUGAGCGUAGUUGUUCCUUUUUCGAUGGUCUCCAUCUCUUUCAUGUAAAAGAUAUUAGCCACAAAAAUUAUAGGCUUUUUUCCCUAAAAAUCUAGCCGGAAAUCAGCCAUUUUCACACCUCUGAACCAUAGUAAAUUAGCCACUAACAACACCUGAAAAACCUCGAAAACCAGCUGAGAAACAACUCAUUUAAACCUCCAUUUUCCCAUUAAAACCAAACAACCACCCAAAACCCGCUGAAAAGCAACUCCAAACCACCGCCAAAAAUAGUCAUCGCACCAUGUUUGCCAAUGAACAGAGGUUCAUUUUAACUGUGUAAUCCGCCCAAGUUCAGUUGAGUUUUUGAGUUGGGUUCAAGGUUUCUGGCGCCAGCGUGGAUCUCGAUCAGAUCGUGGUAUGUUUAUACGAAAGUUUUGGCAGUUCUUUGCUCUCUACAAUGUAUUGAACAUUAUAUUUCAAAUAUUAAAAGGUCAAUUCAUUUUCCUUUUCUUCAUGAAUUGUUUCGAUCUUUCUUCAUAUAAUUUGCUUGUCACUGAUUUGUGUUUCAACUUUUGUUACUUGGAUUUGCCGUCUUGUGUUAAUGGGUAUGCAAUGUUGAGUUUUGAUUAUUAAGUUUGUAUAAUUAAUAUUGAUUUUUGUUAUUUAAUUUGUGUAAUCAAUAUCGAGUUGUUACUAAGUUCAUAUAAUUAAAGUUGAGUAGAAACAAUAGACAGGAUUAGUCAAGUUUGGUUCCAUUAGGUUAUUUAUUAAUGAUGAAUAUUAUGUUAGUGGAUUUUUCCUUAAUCUAAUGCAUUUGUUUAAGUUUCUUGUUAGAUGUUUUCUCUUUAAGAGUGGUUUUAUAUGCUGAAAUUUAGAGAGAGAGAGAGUGAAGCUAGAAUUGGGUUGUAGGUGAAAAUUUGUGGGCCAUGGGGAGUGACCGAAGAAUUGAAAAUUGGUGAAAUUUUUACGCUUAAAAGUAUAGAGUUGAAUUAAACUGAGCAAAAUUCCUUCAAAUCCAAUGUAACGAUACGACCGAUCGUUUUAAGCUCUAGCAUGUUAUUCGGUUGUUUGAAGCUACGAACAGCUUCGCUUCAAGUAUUAUGAAUUGUAUGCAUAGUCGAAAUCGAAUUUCGGGAAGUUCGAAGUUGAUUUAAAAAGUGAAUUCUCAUUCGGAAAGCUUUAAAUUGAAAGAAUUGACUAAGAUUGGAUUUUUGAGUAAACGAUCUUGGAAUCGAGAUUUGAAGGUUCCAGCAGGUUCGUAUGAUGAUUUUGGAAUUGGACGUACAUUCGGAUCGGGUUUUGGAUGAAUGGGGAGUGUUUCAGCGCUUAUUAUGGAAGUUAGCAAUUUAAAAGAAUUUCAUAAAUUUAGGUUGAAGUGUAUUUCAAUGCUAUCAAUGUCCGUUGGGGUUCCGAGUUUAGGAAUAGCACUAUGUGGUGACUCUAGUAUUGGGAGAGCGAUCAGAAGUGGAUUUGGAUGUCCGUAGGUCAUUUUGGAGUCAUUUGGCGAAGUUAGAAAUUUGAAGGUUUUAGAGAAGUUUGACCGAGAGUGAACAUUUUGAUAUCAGGGCCGGAUUCCGAUUCCAGAAGUUGGAAUAGGUCCGUAAUGUUGAAUGUGACAUAUGUGUAAAAUUUUAAGUCAUUUCGAAUUGAUUUGAUAUGUUUCAGGACAAAACAUAAAAGUUGGAAGAUUUAAAAACUCAUAAUCCGAUUUGAUGUGUGAUUCAUAGUUUUAAUGUUGUUUGACGUGGUUUGAAACCUCUAUUAAGUUUGUAUUGUAUUUUGGGACUCGAGGACCUCGGGUGGAUUUUGAAAGGUUAACAGAAUGGAUAUCGGACAAUACGAGCUGCUGCAGAAGCUGUUUUUGGACAGCAUUGGUGCAAUCGCAGAGCUGACAUUAGGAGUUUUUAUUUUGCAAUCUUUAAAGAAUUUGAAUAUUUAUAAAAUAUGAAAGUUGUAGCCCUUGCAUUCUAGUUUUCAGAAAGAUAAACCAUUCAUCAUUUGGAUAAUUGUACAUAAAGUUAUGAUCAAUUGAAUAAAGGCUGGUAAAGCAGUUUGCCAUAAAUUUCUAAUGCGUGAAACCAACUUUGGAAACUUAUAUCUCAAAAUCUAUAAGAAGUUAUAUAGUGAAAAACCUAUAGAAUAAAAGAUAUUCACGUCUAAUUUCUAAUGCUUUAAACCGUACAUCAUUGUAUAUUUCUACGAGGAGUUAUGGACAUUUUAGUAAAAGGUGUUCAGUAGGAAAAUCUUGUAAUAUAAGGUACAACCUGCACAGUGCAAGGUACAACUCGCAGAAGCACCUGUGCCUAUAUAAGGCAGUCGGGCAGCAGCCAUUUUUGGGGGCUUUCUUGAGCUAGCGAUUGGUUCUUUCAUGGUGGAUUCGACCUUGGGGACUACUCAAUAAUACAAGGUGAAUUCUUUUUGGAUAUUUUAAGUUAAUAACAUCCUAUUAACACUAGUAUUAACAUCAUUCAAUCUUUGAAAUCCCUAGGACUCUUCCAAGUCGUUCAAGAUCACCAAAAUUCCAAACAUUAAAAUUUUAAGGAAAAGCUUCAAAAAGGUAAUUCUAAUGCUUCAAGCUCAUUUCUUAUUAGUCGGUGAGAGUAAUUUUAAUAUUUGUUUCAAGUUGUUAUGUUCGGAUAAUUGAUUUCAUAAUCCCUAGUUCAUAGCAUGAAUAGUGUUCUUGAGAAAAUGAUGGAAAGAUAAAUAAUGUUUUUAGAAAUUAAAUUAAAGGAUGCAAUGAACCAAUGGAAUCAUUUUCCAGCUUAGCUACAAGUGUUCAACUAAGUAAUCACCAAGUCGAAUGUUUUGGAAAUGUUGGUUAAUGAAAAUGAUGAAUAGUAAUUUGGCGGUGUUGGAGAACUAAUGUAGUAUCAUUGAUGACUUCAAAUGGAAAUUAAAUGAUAAGAGUAGAGUUGAAGGUGCUAAUGAGUGGACCUAUUAGACGAUUUGAGCCGGAGGCUUAUAGCCAACUUGUGAUCUAUAGAUGGAUAUUGAUAAAUCUUUUUGGAUCAUAUUUUAAUUGUAAUUGGGAUUGUAAUUGUAGCUACCAAUUUGUUGGUGGCGUAUGAGCAUUUUACUCAAUGUUACAAUGUCGGACGAUUAUUAAAAGCUUGUGAAUGUUAAUAAGCAAAAGUAAUUUUUGGAGCGUUGGGCAUCGGUCGAGUUGUUUGAAAGACUUGGGAGCCUGCUAAGGAACUUCGAAGCGAGUUAAGUCUCCUUUCUAAACUUGAAAGAGGAAAUUGUCCCCAUUUGUGAAAUUAUUAAGUAUUUGCUUCUAUUUGUGGGGGCUACGUAUGCAUGAGGUGACGAAAGUCCGUGCGUAGCUACUAUUGUGCUUAAUCCUGGGUAAUCGAGGACCCAAAAUCAUGCUAUACCUGAAUUAUUGUAAUCUUAUUGACAACUUAAAUUUCUUAAAUCAUAUCGAAUUAGUAAAAGAAUUUCUAAAAAAAAAUUAAACUUCGUUAAAAGAGAAUUAGCUUUUAGUUGGAUAAAAGUUUCCUGAUGAAGUGUUAGUUGAAUGUUUCAAAGUGUGUAUCUAUAAGUAUAUGCAUAGCAUGUAUGAUUAACGAGUGGGGUAACUCUAUUAUUUAUAUUUGAUGCGUUGCAAGUAUGAUUCGCAAGCAGGGUAAUAGAUGCAUAUAUGGUUCGCGUCGUUCGACCCUCAACAAUGCACAUUUUACAUUUAUGUUGGAUUAGACCGUCCUCGGCAGGAUUUGUGCAUGUUUGUAAUUCUUGCUUGACAUUUACAAAAUUUGAUAUUGCCUCCCUGGUCCGAGAUACAUUGAUAAAUAGUGAAAUAUGAAUUUGGAGACUUCCUAAUAUAAAAAGGAUUGUUUACUUGUUUUUCUUGAUUUACUUGAAUUUACUGUCAUUUCCAAUAAAUCCAUUAUUAUUUACAUUAUUAAUACAUUAUUAUUGGACCACUAGUGAGUGUCGAAGUCGACCUCUCAUCACUACUUCUUCGAGGUUAGACGGGGUACUUACUAGGUACAUAUUUUUUUGUACUGAUAUUAUACUUGUUGUGUAUUUUUAUUGCAUAUGCACAUGUAUGUCUAGCGGCCUAGUUGGCCAUAGAGGCAUGGUUGAUACGGAGACGUACGUGAGUUGCACCUCUCAAGAUGAACCGCAGCAAGCAGAGUGCUUCAGAGUACUGUACUGUUUUUUUUCUUUGUCCAAUUUGUAUUCCGAAAAGUCAUUGUUUUACAUUAUUUCUUAGAAACUUCUC
RNAcentral lists this long non-coding RNA (4372 nucleotides) under Nicotiana benthamiana. RNAcentral describes it as "long non-coding RNA (NBEN_LNC015119)". Lineage: Eukaryota; Viridiplantae; Streptophyta; Magnoliopsida; Solanales; Solanaceae. The record is from RNAcentral.